AUGAGGUUUCAGUCCAAAGGAGUCACUGUGACAGGAGCAAUGCUGGCUCUGUAGCCAGAAGCUGGAGGUAUGAAACUCAGCUUUCUGGUACUCAUAAGCUCGUUUUGCUUACAUGCAUGCAGUAAAGAGUGAAAAUGGCCUAACAAGCUGUAUUUCCAUUAAAGGUGUGAAAGGAGAGAUCAGGAACAAGGAUAAACAAGAAAAUGCAGGCUGGUCUGCACCGUUCAUCGUGCUAACAACUUUGGCAUGCCUCCUCCUCGUUUUUAUCCUACUCCUCUGUUCCGUUGGCAAUAGACGAAAACAGGAAGUGCCACUCUUGUCAGAGUAUGGCCAACUGCAAGGCCAGCUAGG
Molecule: long non-coding RNA, 351 nt
Organism: Dromaius novaehollandiae (emu)
Lineage: Eukaryota; Metazoa; Chordata; Aves; Casuariiformes; Dromaiidae
Exons: 4
Source: RefSeq, a predicted model, not a curated record